Molecule: transfer RNA, 73 nt
Filed under: Enterococcus larvae
Lineage: Bacteria; Bacillati; Bacillota; Bacilli; Lactobacillales; Enterococcaceae
Description: Enterococcus sp. BWM-S5 tRNA-Met
Rfam family: tRNA
About the family: Transfer RNA (tRNA) molecules are approximately 80 nucleotides in length. Their secondary structure includes four short double-helical elements and three loops (D, anti-codon, and T loops).
Source: RNAcentral
GGACGUUUAUCUCAGAUGGCAUAGAGGACGGUUCAUAACCGUUUAGUCACAGGUUCGAAUCCUGUAGCGUCCA